This 497-nucleotide ribosomal RNA is filed under the name uncultured bacterium. Its description in RNAcentral is "partial 16S ribosomal RNA". It matches the Rfam family "Bacterial small subunit ribosomal RNA", at positions 28 to 507 of the family's 1533-position model. The record is from RNAcentral.
GAUGAACGCUGGCGGCGUGCCUAAUACAUGCAAGUCGAGCGAACAGACGAGGAGCUUGCUCCUCUGACGUUAGCGGCGGACGGGUGAGUAACACGUGGAUAACCUACCUAUAAGACUGGGAUAACUUCGGGAAACCGGAGCUAAUACCGGAUAAUAUAUUGAACCGCGUGGUUCAAUAGUGAAAAACGGUUUUGCUGUCACUUAUAGAUGGAUCCGCGCCGCAUUAGCUAGUUGGUAAGGUAACGGCUUACCAAGGCAACGAUGCGUAGCCGACCUGAGAGGGUGAUCGGCGACACAGUAACUGAGACACGGGCCAGAAUCCUACGGGAGGCAGUCGUAGGGAAUCUGCAGCAAUGGGCGAAAGCCUGACGGAGCAAAGCCGCGUGAGUGAUGAAGGUCUUCGGAGCGUAAAACUCUGUUAUUAGGGAAGAACAAAUGUGUAAGUAACUAUGCACGUCUUGACGGUACCUAAUCAGAAAGCCACGGCUAACUACGUG